GAGGCCAGGGGUGCUGGCCGAGAGGAGCAACCCCAGGUCCAAGGAGUGGUGGCUAUGCGGGUGCAGGAAGGCCGAGAGGAGCUACUCCGCUUUCAAGGUCAGGAGGGGCAGCGGUGAGGAGAUAACCCUCGUCCAAAGUAGGGAGCAGCGGUUGCACUUUGCUGGAGCAGCUGUGAAGAGAUACCCCACAUCCAAGUAAAUUUAGACCUUGGAGAUACCUCUCAUCCAAGAUAAGGAACAGUGGCUGUGCUUUGCUGGAGCAGCUGUGAAGAGAUACCCCACGUCCAAGUUCUGGAGGCUGGGAAGUCCAAGAUCAUGCUGGCAGAUCUGAUGUCUGAUGAGAGCCAGCUUCCUCCUUGAUGACUGUCUUCUUACUGUGACCUCACAUGGCAGAAGGGCCAAGCUAACUCAAUGAAGCCUGUUUCAUAAGGGCGCCAAUUCCCAUCCUGAGGGCUCUCCCCUGGUGACCUAAUCAACUCCGAAGUGGGAGGAUUGUGAAGCAGACGUUGGAAUCAUGGAGGAAGAUAAGAGAAUGAAGAGUCAGAUGACUCAUCUUCCUAAAGGUCCCCCAAAUAUGAAGUGGUGAACUAGGGGCUGAAACUCACCUCUGUCACUCUCAGCUGGUGCUUCUCAGGAUUCCUGAAGUUUAGAAGCAGCAGCUGCGUGGUUUAGAAGAUAGAACCCAGGUGGCUGGUU
This is a long non-coding RNA of Bubalus bubalis (water buffalo), 696 nucleotides long. RefSeq lists it as uncharacterized. The transcript has 4 exons. NCBI's taxonomy places the organism in Eukaryota, Metazoa, Chordata, Mammalia, Artiodactyla, Bovidae. The record is from RefSeq and is a predicted model, not a curated record.